CAUCAAACCACACCUUGUGCCGCAGCAAAGAGAAGAAGAAGGACCCUUGGACGUGCUUGCCAUUCAAGUUGGAUUUUUGGAGCUUUUUUAAGUGUUUUCUUUCUUUUGUUUUCAAUGUCUAAAUUUGUUUAUCUUUGCUUUGUAAGUAUGAGGAACUAAACCCCCCCUUAGCUAGGGGGAAUUCGAAACCAUGUUCAUGCUUGCAAUAUGAUUUGAUUACCUUCAGUUAUGAUUUCAUAAGUGGUGAAUUCAAUUUGUUUAACUACUUGAUUGAUAACUUAUUCGUGUAUGUUUAUUAAGAGUGCACACUUAGUUUGCAUGCAUGAAUAUGGUGCUAGAGUAUAAGGGAGUUUCACCUAAUAGUUACAAACUUAUAUUCACAAGUAGUGGAGGUCGCUUAUAAACGAUCGCGUUAAAUAAAUUCUUGGCAUUAGUUUCAUGCUCAUCAUAGUAACAAAUGCCUCGUCAAUACUUAUAGUUUUCAUAAUGCUUAAUGAUCUUUGAUUGUAUCUUUAUUGUGCUGUUCACGUAAAGAACUUUUGAAGAAUGCUUGAAUUGUUGUAUGCGCUUUCCCAUCCAAUUCAAUAACUUAAGGAGAACUUGAAGGUUAAUUUAAGCGGACUUAAUUAACCUGGGGUGUUGAGUUUCAUGAUUGAUCGAAAGAACAACUGAAAAUUGGUUUAUGUGCAAGUAUGUCAUGUGUGGAGAAGAACCUCCUAGCUAGCCUUCCAUCUAUUCAAUUUACUCAAAUUCGUGCAAAUUUCAUUAGUUCUUUAAUUUACUUGUUUUGUUUUCAAAUUCAUCAAAAUGAAAACCCCCUUUACUUUAAAGUGUUUUAUUAGUAAAAAUCUGUUUUGAUUUGUGUUUUUAGGUGUCCCAAAAGUGUGUUAGAGUCCAAAUCUGCCCAGUUUGUGUUUUUAGGCAGAUUUGAGCAUUUUUAGCUUGUUUUGAGUCCUUUGAGUUUGUUUUAAGUUCUUUGAGUCCAGUUUAGUGUUUAAACUUUGUUUAUAUGUUUUUAAGUCACUUUAGAGGUUUUAGCAAGCCCUCAUAAUCCCCGGGUACAACCUUCACGUGAUUGUUCACCUCCUGCACCGCACACUCAC
RNAcentral lists this long non-coding RNA (1103 nucleotides) under Malus domestica (apple). RNAcentral describes it as "long non-coding RNA (MDOM_LNC017886)". Lineage: Eukaryota; Viridiplantae; Streptophyta; Magnoliopsida; Rosales; Rosaceae. The record is from RNAcentral.